GACCCCAUCGAUUAACGGAUAAAUCGGUUCUUUCCUAAAGAACAGCUACAGGUUCGAUUCCUGUUGGGGUCGCCA
RNAcentral lists this transfer RNA (75 nucleotides) under Oligoflexus sp. Its description in RNAcentral is "tRNA-Arg". It matches the Rfam family "tRNA". From Rfam's summary of the family: Transfer RNA (tRNA) molecules are approximately 80 nucleotides in length. Their secondary structure includes four short double-helical elements and three loops (D, anti-codon, and T loops). Lineage: Bacteria; Pseudomonadati; Bdellovibrionota; Oligoflexia; Oligoflexales; Oligoflexaceae. The record is from RNAcentral.